AUGUCUGAUUAUGUGUCGCGGGAUUAUAUAUUGGGGGCACUAGCUAGCAAAACAGUAAUUCUUGUAACCCAUCAAGUCGGGUUCAUACCAGCUGCUGACUUCAUACUGGAUGGUCAUAUCGCCCAAGAUGGAAAAUAUGAGGAUCUUCUCCAAGCUGGAACUGAGCUCAAUGCAUCAAGAACAAAAUCAAUUGAAGCAACACUUCGUGUAUAA
RNAcentral lists this ribosomal RNA (213 nucleotides) under Triticum aestivum (bread wheat). RNAcentral's name for it is "partial small subunit ribosomal RNA". Lineage: Eukaryota; Viridiplantae; Streptophyta; Magnoliopsida; Poales; Poaceae. The record is from RNAcentral.